UACGUAGGGGGCAAGCGUUGUCCGGAAUCAUUGGGCGUAAAGAGCGUGUAGGCGGCCUGGUAAGUCCGCUGUGAAAGUCCAGGGCUCAACCCUGGAAUGCCGGUGGAAACUGUCAGGCUCGAGUCCGGAAGAGGCGAGUGGAAUUCCUGGUGUAGCGGUGAAAUGCGCAGAUAUCGGUAGGAACACCAGUGGCGAAGGCGGUCUCCUGGGGCAUUCUUGACACUGAUGCGCGAAAGCUGGGGGAGCAAACGGG
This 253-nucleotide ribosomal RNA is filed under the name uncultured bacterium. Its description in RNAcentral is "partial 16S ribosomal RNA". It matches the Rfam family "Bacterial small subunit ribosomal RNA", at positions 524 to 776 of the family's 1533-position model. The record is from RNAcentral.